This 290-nucleotide unclassified non-coding RNA is filed under the name Hevea brasiliensis (rubber tree). Lineage: Eukaryota; Viridiplantae; Streptophyta; Magnoliopsida; Malpighiales; Euphorbiaceae. The record is from RNAcentral.
UAUUACAUCUAGUAUACUAAGCAACACAGAAGAGUCGGUACCCUUCUCAGAAAGCAGGGAGUUCAGUAUUUGGGUUACUGGUCGUUUACAAUCUGGGAUGGCCAUGACCCUUUCACUAAUAAGGCCCAACACAGAUUUCAAGUUGGCAAUGACGACUCCAACAUCAGCACCUUGACGAGAAGAAGUGACAGCAGAAUCAGGAUCUGAUCUCUGACCCUGCCGCACAUGGGAACCAAUAGAUGACCCCAUAUCUCGAGCCAGGCGCUGAAGAAGACGGACCAGAUUUACUG